CUACGGGAUGCAGCAGUGAGGAAUAUUGGGCAAUGGGCGCAAGCCUGACCCAGCCAUGCCGCGUGAAGGAUGAAUGCCCUACGGGUUGUAAACUUCUUUUGUACGGGACGAAACUUCCGAUCGUGAUCGGAACUGACUGUACCGUUCGAAUAAGCAUCGGCUAACUGCGUGCCAGCAGCCGCGGUAAUACGGAGGAUGCAAGCGUUAUCCGGAUUCAUUGGGUUUAAAGGGUGCGUAGGCGGAAUAGUAAGUCAGUGGUGAAAGCCUGCGGCUUAACCGUAGAAUUGCCAUUGAUACUGUUAUUCUUGAGUAUAGUUGAGGUGGGCGGAAUGUGUAAUGUAGCGGUGAAAUGCUUAGAUAUUACACAGAACACCAAUUGCGAAGGCAGCUCACUAAACUAUCACUGGCGCUGAGGCACGAAAGCGUGGGGAGCAAACAGGAUUAGAUACCCUCGUAGUC
This 459-nucleotide ribosomal RNA is filed under the name uncultured bacterium. RNAcentral's name for it is "partial 16S ribosomal RNA". It matches the Rfam family "Bacterial small subunit ribosomal RNA", at positions 339 to 795 of the family's 1533-position model. The record is from RNAcentral.